This 73-nucleotide transfer RNA is filed under the name Plestiodon capito. Its description in RNAcentral is "tRNA-Asn". It matches the Rfam family "tRNA". From Rfam's summary of the family: Transfer RNA (tRNA) molecules are approximately 80 nucleotides in length. Their secondary structure includes four short double-helical elements and three loops (D, anti-codon, and T loops). Lineage: Eukaryota; Metazoa; Chordata; Lepidosauria; Squamata; Scincidae. The record is from RNAcentral.
CGGACAGAGGCCCGCUGGAUAGGGUGUUUAGCUGUUAACUAAAAGUUUACGGGAUCGAGGCCCGUCUGUCUGG